AAAGGUAUAGAAGAAGAGUCUGGAAAGGCUCACCAAAGUGGGUGAUAGUCCCGUAUUUGAAAUGCCAUUAAUGCUGUUGACGAAGAGUAGGUCGGGACACGAGAAAUCCUGAUUGAACAUGGGGGGACCAUCCUCCAAGGCUAAAUACUCCUGACUGACCGAUAGUGAACCAGUACCGUGAGGGAAAGGCGAAAAGAACCCCGUAGAGGGGAGUGAAAUAGAUCCUGAAACCGUAUACGUACAAGCAGUAGGAGCAGACUUGUUCUGUGACUGCGUACCUUUUGUAUAAUGGGUCAGCGACUUAU
This 305-nucleotide ribosomal RNA is filed under the name Euplotes focardii. Its description in RNAcentral is "partial Bacterial large subunit ribosomal RNA". It matches the Rfam family "Bacterial large subunit ribosomal RNA", at positions 323 to 631 of the family's 2925-position model. The record is from RNAcentral. Lineage: Eukaryota; Ciliophora; Spirotrichea; Euplotida; Euplotidae.